AUGUCUUCAGCCGGAUCAGGGGCUUCGUCUGCAGCCGCAAUCACAACUGGAAGAACGAGAAAAGAUGUAGCAUGGGAGCAUGCUUUACCAAUUAUUGAUGAGUUUAGGACCAAGAACAGAGUUGGGUGCAAAUAUUUCUUGAACUUUUAUAAUGGUGGCAUUACAAGAUUUAAGAAGCACUUGGCUGGACUGAGAAAGGACUGUGUACCUUGCACGCAGGUUCCUGAUCAUGUUAGAGAGCAAAUGAGUGCCUUGAUAUCUGAGAAUGAUAAAAAGAAGGAUAAAUCACUAUAUAAAAUGUUGGCGCUACGAGAGGAGGUUAGAGGGAUGUAUGAUCACGGUGGGAAUGAGGAUGAAGAUUGCGAAAUUGUUGAGUUUUCUCCUGCAGCAAGUGGAAGCUCUCAACUUCCUAAGAAGCCUCUGAUCAAGGGUCCAAUGGACAGGCAUCGUGGAUGGCCAGGAAUAGGGAAACAAACAAUGGUGAAUGCUCAUUACAAGAUCAAAGAAGCAAAGACAACUUAUGAUUAUAUCUGCGAGUUCUUCAUUGAGGGUGCCCUUGCACAUAAUGUUGCUAGUCUUAAAUCAUUUACUCGAAUAGUGGAAGCAAUUGGACAAUUUGGUCCAGGAUUGAAGCCACCUACACAUUAUCAGCUUGCCAAUCCUUUGUUGAAGAUACAAGUUAGCAAGGUAGAUGAAAUGUUGAAGGUCCAAAAGGAGGCAUGGGUUUCUAUUGGAUGCUCUAUAAUGACUGAUGCUUGGACAGAUCACCGUGGAAGGAGCUUAAUGAAUUUGGUUGCCCAUUCUUCCAGAGGCGUGUGUUUCCUCGGUGCCAUUGAAGCUUCAAUGGAGGUUCACGAUGCCAAGUUCAUCUUCAGCUUGGCCAUGUCUUGCAUUUCUGAAAUUGGUGCCGAAAAGAUUGUUCAACUAGUCACGGACAAUGCAAGUAACAAUAUUGCAGUAGCCAAGUUACUUAAGCAGAAGCAUCCUCAAAUAUUCUGGACCUCAUGUGCAGCCCACACAAUCAACCUAAUGCUCCAAGACAUUGGAAAUAUACCCAUAGUCAGCUCAACAAUUACCAAUGGUAAGACCGUCACAAAUUUCUUUUAUGCACACACUAGAUUGUUGGCUAUUCUUCGCAAGUAUGCCGAAGGUGAUUUAGUCAGAGCUAGUGCUACUCGAUUUGCAAGUCACUACUUGAACUUGAAGAGUUUGUAUGGAAAGAGGAAGCAGCUAAAGCUAAUGUUUGCAUCAAAUGAUUGGGCUGGCAGUAGUUAUGCUAAGAAGUCAUUGGGCAAAUGUGUGUACAAGCUCGUAAUGGACAAUAAGUUUUGGGCCAAGAUAAACCUGCUAGUGAAUUAUUUUGAGCCACUUGCCAAUGUGCUUAGGCGGGUUGAUGGAGACACUCCAGCCAUGGGGUUCUUAUAUGGUGAUCUUCUCCAAGCAAAGCAGGAAAUAGCAGUUUGGUUCAACCAUGUUGAGAAAAAAUAUGGUCCUAUUUGGGAGAUCAUAGAUAGAAGGUGGGAUAACAAGACGAAAACAGCAUUGCACAAAGCUGGUUAUUUGUUGAACCCUUUCUUCUACUAUGAUAGACAGAGUGAAAUGGCUGAAGAAGAUUUCAUGGAAGCAGUGAUAGAGUGUGCAUCUGUUAUGUACAAAAAUAACACAGAGGUGCAAGACAAUAUUGUCUCCCAGCUUAGUUAUUACACCAAAGCCAUAGAUUCAUUUGGAACUGAGAUGGCCAUUAGACUACACAAAGUAGCAACUAUCACUCCUGCAAGAUGGUGGACCGUGCCUGGAACUUCUGCAAAGGACUUGAAGAAGAUGGCUAUUAGAAUCUUGAGCUUAACUUGUAGUUCUUUGGCAUGUGAAAGAAAUUGGUCUGCAUUUGAGAGGGUACAUUCAAAGAAGAGGACCAGACUAGGCCAGAAGAAGUUGAAUAACCUUGUUUAUGUGAUGUUCAACAAGAGGCUGGACUCGAAGUACUCCGAGAGGGAAAGGGACCCACUGCUUGCAAAAUACAUUGAAGAUGAGCCACCAAAUGAGUGGAUGUUGGAUGAAGAGCUAUCUGAAGAUGAAGCUGAAAUUGACAUCAAUUCAAAGGGGAAACAAAAACCUGUAGCUUCAAGAACUAGAGGUAAAAGAGCUCGUACAAUUCAAGAUGUUGAAGAUGAGGAGGAAGUGGCAGAAGAAGAGGAGAUGUAA
Molecule: ribosomal RNA, 2202 nt
Filed under: Triticum aestivum (bread wheat)
Lineage: Eukaryota; Viridiplantae; Streptophyta; Magnoliopsida; Poales; Poaceae
Description: partial small subunit ribosomal RNA
Source: RNAcentral